CCAAGAAAUAGAGGUUGCGGUGGGCAACGAAAACUGGGGAGUGCCGUAUCAUGUUGAACCAGUUGUAAGUGCCACCGCCGAAAUGUUGCACGAUAUUCGGAUCGUGCGCAUUGGGCCAUGGGUGCAUAACCCAUGGACUGUCGAAGCACUCGCUUCGGGGCGCUAUGAUUCUG
Molecule: non-coding RNA, 173 nt
Filed under: Lacticaseibacillus casei
Lineage: Bacteria; Bacillati; Bacillota; Bacilli; Lactobacillales; Lactobacillaceae
Also listed under: 2 other names
Description: Lactobacillus casei Lysine sequence
Rfam family: Lysine riboswitch aptamer
About the family: Riboswitches are metabolite binding domains within certain messenger RNAs that serve as precision sensors for their corresponding targets. Allosteric rearrangement of mRNA structure is mediated by ligand binding, and this results in modulation of gene expression. This family includes riboswitches that sense lysine in a number of genes involved in lysine metabolism, including lysC.
Source: RNAcentral